Molecule: long non-coding RNA, 975 nt
Organism: Oncorhynchus tshawytscha (Chinook salmon)
Lineage: Eukaryota; Metazoa; Chordata; Actinopteri; Salmoniformes; Salmonidae
Source: Ensembl
CAGCCCACACUACAACAGCCAAUGCCACCACAACUGCAGCUGGUACUACAACAGCAGUUGCCACUACAACUUCCCCUGUCACCACAACUGCAGCCCACACUACAACAGCCAAUGCCACCACAACUGCAGCUGGUACCUCAACAGCAGUUGCCACUACAACUUCCCCUGCAACCACAACUGCAGCCCACACUUCAACAAUUUCUGCCACCACAACUGCAGUCACUCUUACGACAGAGGCUAACACUACAACUGCAGCUGCAACUACAACUUCACCUGUCACCACAACUGCAGCCCACACUACAACAGCCAAUGCCACCACAACUGCAGCUGGUACUACAACAGCAGUUGCAACUACAACUUCACCUGUCACCACAACUGCAGCCCACACUACAACAGCCAAUGCCACCACAACUGCAGCUGGUACCUCAACAGCAGUUGCCACUACAACAUCCCCUGCAACCACAACUGCAGCCCACACUUCAACAGCUUCUGCCACCACAACUGCCGCCACUCUUACGACAGAGGCUAACACUACAACUGCGGCUGCUACUACAACUUCACCUGUCACCACAACUGCAGCCCACACUACAACAGCCAAUGCCACCACAACUGCAGCUGGUACUACAACAGCAGUUGCCACUACAACUUCCCCUGUCACCACAACUGCAGCCCACACUACAACAGCCAAUGCCACCACAACUGCAGCUGGUACCUCAACAGCAGUUGCCACUACAACAUCCCCUGCAACCACAACUGCAGCCCACACUUCAACAGCUUCUGCCACCACAACUGCAGCCACUCUUACGACAGAGGCUAACACUACAACUGCAGCUCCUACUACAACUUCCCCUGUCACCACAACUGCAGCCCACACUACAACAGCCAAUGCCACCACAACUGCAGCUGGUACCUCAACAUCAGUUGCCACUACAACUUCCCCUAUAACCACAACUGCAGCCCACACUACAACAGCUU